GGUGAGAUGGCCGAGUUGGUUAUGGCGCCAGGUUAAGGUUUUCUGCAUUCGGUUAGCAUCGUCUACAGUUCUUAACGUAUUUCCUGGUCACGAAAGUGGCGUGGGUUCAAGUCCCACUCUCAUCA
Molecule: non-coding RNA, 125 nt
Organism: Ophiobolus disseminans
Lineage: Eukaryota; Fungi; Ascomycota; Dothideomycetes; Pleosporales; Phaeosphaeriaceae
Source: the annotation of a GenBank genome assembly